CUGAACGGAUGCAGACGGUUGUAUUAUCUGAACGCAUCCGUCUGUGCAGAUCAAUGACUGAUCCGCAUCAAACGUGAGUGUGAAAGUAGCCUUAGUUUUUUUCCUUUUUUAAAUUAUUGGAGUUAACUGGAAAAUGUUGGCAAAUAUUUUGUGCCUAUAGUCAAUAUUGCAUAUAAAAUUUUUUACAAACUUCAAAAUCUCUUGGAUGCCUGUACUAGGGUAAGUUCGGAAGUUGGAGGUAUUACAGUGCAAAUUUAAAAACACUUGUAGGAUCACUCAUUGAAGAUGAUGUCCAGGGGUUGUGUCUAGUAUUGUAGCUCUAGCCCAGUUCACUUGAAUGGCAGCACACAUGGCUUAUGUAUUAUUUUUUUUUCAUAGGAUGGCCAUCGCAUUCACCAUUUAAAUUGUGUCUGCAUAAUGCAUGAUUAUCUCUGCUUAAAUCAUCACACAGUCAAUUGGCCAUAUUGUAUUAUCUGUUAUGAAAUGGGAGCUGGGAGAAGAUUACUAGAAGAUCAGUAUCCAUCUUCUAGCAUCAGUAUGUGAUUAAACCAAUGGAAUAAAGUACAGCCAUGUGAAUGUGCAGCCUUAAAGGGGUUGUCUCAUCUCACAGUUACUAAGGCAAGAUGACACACAGUUGUGACCACCUUCCAGCAGGGAAACAGCAGAGUGCUCUGGCACGGUUUCAGUAGCUCUCAUUUUUGUGCAUGAAAGCUACUGAAACAUCAUAGUAGAGCAAUCUAUGCUGUUUCUCUAACUCAAACAGCAUAGCUUGUUGUACUACACUGUUUCAGUAGCUCUCAUGCACGGCAAUGAGAGCUACUGAAACAGCAGAGCGUUCUGCUGUUUCCUGGCUGGGACUUACAAUGCUAUCCCACCUCUACAUUUUAAUUCUCAAUCUCCUUCCUCAAGUGAAGUAAGGAUUUACACUAUUUUGGCCUACUUGACUGUUCAUUUAGAGCAGUUUUAGAAGGCCAUUUGGUAUGGAAUUUUUAAGUGCAAAACUGAACCUUCACUUAUUUAUGGCUAGGUUUUAGGUAACCGUUUGAUAAAUUAUUUUUUCAUUUGCAUCUAUUGUUUCCUGAUGAUUCCUUUAAAAAUGCAAUACCAGUUUGAUAUCUCCCACAAACACUAGUCUUUACUCCUGUUUGUUCACAGCCUCAUCAUAUCAAGUGCAUUGUGGCAUUCACUCGCCACCUUUCCUCCUGCUGUGAAAUUGUGGUGUCAUACAGUGAGGCAGCCCACUUCUUCCUACCACUCACCCCUUUUCCCUGUAAUUUGUCUUCAGUUCUUACUUUCUUAAUGCAGUUGCUAAAAUUGGGUCUUUUCAGGCACUGCAGCCUGUUGUGUGAUCUGAAAAAGGUUGCAGCUGCUUCCACUGAACCACACUACAGAUGAAUUUAUUUGUAGUCAGUAUCCACCAAGAAUUGAAUCAGGACUAAGGAUACAAGCUAUAAGGCAACCUUGUAUAGUUUAAUAUCCAUUAAAUGUGAGGAGAAUAAAAAAAAAGUAAGAAUUUAAUUGCAAUUCUUUUGAAAUGCUUUUAUGCUCUCAUGUUGUUCAGUUUCUGUAUAUACAAUGGUCAAAGCUAAUGAUCACCACACUUUACACAUUUCUGUCCCCAAACACCAAGAGUAUAAUAUUUUUUUAACUUUUCUCAACUUGAAACUUGUCAGGCUACUUUCACACAUGCAGCAUAGCCAUCCAGCAGGCUGUUCUUUGCUGGACAAAAACCGUUACAUGCAGCAAUGUUUGACCGGCCAAAUACCAGCAUCAAUGGGGUCUGGCAGGCAAGCAGCACUAUAAUGCGAGUUCCAGGAAACUCAGACAGGCUCUUCUCUGCUGGGACAGCCUGCCAGAUUGCUAUGUCACGUGUGAAACCUUAGUAAGUUACUUUUUAAAAUUUAACUCUUAACACACAC
Bufo bufo (common toad) is the source of this 1919-nucleotide long non-coding RNA. RefSeq lists it as uncharacterized. Lineage: Eukaryota; Metazoa; Chordata; Amphibia; Anura; Bufonidae. The transcript is spliced from 2 exons. The record is from RefSeq and is a predicted model, not a curated record.